RNAcentral lists this ribosomal RNA (460 nucleotides) under uncultured bacterium. RNAcentral describes it as "partial 16S ribosomal RNA". It matches the Rfam family "Bacterial small subunit ribosomal RNA", at positions 338 to 795 of the family's 1533-position model. The record is from RNAcentral.
CCUACGAGCGGCUGCAGUGAGGAAUAUUGGUCAAUGGACGAGAGUCUGAACCAGCCAAGUAGCGUGAAGGAUGACUGCCCUAUGGGUUGUAAACUUCUUUUAUCUGGGAAUAAAAUGUUCCACGUGUGGGAUUUUGUAUGUACCAUAUGAAUAAGGAUCGGCUAACUCCGUGCCAGCCGCCGAGGUAAUACGGAGGAUCCGAGCGUUAUCCGGAUUUAUUGGGUUUAAAGGGAGCGUAGGUGGAUUGUUAAGUCAGUUGUGAAAGUUUGCGGCUCAACCGUAAAAUUGCAGUUGAAACUGGCAGUCUUGAGUACAGUAGAGGUGGGCGGAAUUCGUGGUGUAGCGGUGAAAUGCUUAGAUAUCACGAAGAACUCCGAUUGCGAAGGCAGCUCACUGGACUGCAACUGACACUGAGGCUCGAAAGUGUGGGUAUCAAACAGGAUUAGAUACCCCUGUAGUC